UAGGGAAUCUUCCACAAUGGGCGAAGCCUGAUGGAGCAACGCCGCGUGAGUGAAGAAGGGUUUCGGCUCGUAAAACUCUGUUGUUAAAGAAGAACAUAUCUGAGAGUAACUGUUCAGGUAUUGACGGUAUUUAACCAGAAAGCCACGGCUAACUACGUGCCAG
RNAcentral lists this ribosomal RNA (163 nucleotides) under uncultured bacterium. RNAcentral's name for it is "partial 16S rRNA". It matches the Rfam family "Bacterial small subunit ribosomal RNA", at positions 355 to 511 of the family's 1533-position model. The record is from RNAcentral.